CCUACGGGAGGCAGCAGUGGGGGAUAUUGCACAAUGGGGGGAACCCUGAUGCAGCGACGCCGCGUGGGUGAAGGAGCGCUUCGGCGCGUAAAGCCCUAUUGGCAGGGGAGAAGAUGAGGGUACCUGACCAAGAAGCGCCGGCUAAUUACGAGACAGCAGCCGCGGUAAUACGGCGGGAGCAAGCGGUAUCCGGAUUUACUGGGUGGAAAGGGGGCGCAGACGGCAAUGCAAGCCAGGAGUGAAAGCCACGGGCCCAACCCCGGGACUGCUCUUGAAACUGCAUUGCUGGAGUGCAGGAGGGGCAGGCGGAAUGCCUGGUGUAGCGGUGAAAUGCGUAGAUAUUAGGAGGAACACCGGUGGCGAAGGCGGCCUGCUGGCCUGUAACUGACGUUGAGGCCCGAAGGCGUGGGGAGCAAACAGGAUUAGAUACCCUGGUAGUC
RNAcentral lists this ribosomal RNA (440 nucleotides) under uncultured bacterium. Its description in RNAcentral is "partial 16S ribosomal RNA". It matches the Rfam family "Bacterial small subunit ribosomal RNA", at positions 338 to 795 of the family's 1533-position model. The record is from RNAcentral.